RNAcentral lists this ribosomal RNA (678 nucleotides) under Erythrobacter sp. Pbc-contF1b. RNAcentral's name for it is "bacterial SSU rRNA". It matches the Rfam family "Bacterial small subunit ribosomal RNA", at positions 24 to 747 of the family's 1533-position model. The record is from RNAcentral. Lineage: Bacteria; Pseudomonadati; Pseudomonadota; Alphaproteobacteria; Sphingomonadales; Erythrobacteraceae.
UCAGAACGAACGCUGGCGGCAUGCCUAACACAUGCAAGUCGAACGAAGCCUUCGGGCUUAGUGGCGCACGGGUGCGUAACGCGUGGGAACCUGCCUUUAGGUUCGGAAUAACUCAGAGAAAUUUGAGCUAAUACCGGAUAAUGUCUUCGGACCAAAGAUUUAUCGCCUUUAGAUGGGCCCGCGUUAGAUUAGAUAGUUGGUGGGGUAAUGGCCUACCAAGUCGACGAUCUAUAGCUGGUCUGAGAGGAUGAUCAGCCACACUGGGACUGAGACACGGCCCAGACUCCUACGGGAGGCAGCAGUGGGGAAUAUUGGACAAUGGGCGAAAGCCUGAUCCAGCAAUGCCGCGUGAGUGAUGAAGGCCUUAGGGUUGUAAAGCUCUUUUACCAGGGAUGAUAAUGACAGUACCUGGAGAAUAAGCUCCGGCUAACUCCGUGCCAGCAGCCGCGGUAAUACGGAGGGAGCUAGCGUUGUUCGGAAUUACUGGGCGUAAAGCGCGCGUAGGCGGCUUUUUAAGUCAGGGGUGAAAUCCCGGGGCUCAACCCCGGAACUGCCCUUGAAACUGGAUGGCUAGAAUACUGGAGAGGUGAGUGGAAUUCCGAGUGUAGAGGUGAAAUUCGUAGAUAUUCGGAAGAACACCAGUGGCGGAAGGCGGACUCACUGGACAGUUAUGACGCU